UACGAAGGUGGCAAGCGUUGUUCGGAUUUACUGGGCGUACAGGGAGCGUAGGCGGUUGGAUAAGCCCUCCGUGAAAUCUCCAGGCUUAACCUGGAAAGUGCAGAGGGGACUGUUCAGCUAGAGGAUGGGAGAGGAGCGCGGAAUUCCCGGUGUAGCAGUGAAAUGCGUAGAGAUCGGGAGGAACAUCUGUGGCGAAGGCGGCCAUCUGGACCAGCACUGACACUGAGGCACAAAAGCGUGGGGAGCAAACAGG
This 253-nucleotide ribosomal RNA is filed under the name uncultured bacterium. Its description in RNAcentral is "partial 16S ribosomal RNA". It matches the Rfam family "Bacterial small subunit ribosomal RNA", at positions 524 to 776 of the family's 1533-position model. The record is from RNAcentral.